This 482-nucleotide ribosomal RNA is filed under the name uncultured bacterium. RNAcentral describes it as "partial 16S ribosomal RNA". It matches the Rfam family "Bacterial small subunit ribosomal RNA", at positions 30 to 507 of the family's 1533-position model. The record is from RNAcentral.
AUUGAACGCUGGCGGCAUGCCUUACACAUGCAAGUCGAACGGUAACAGGUCUUCGGAUGCUGACGAGUGGCGCACGGGUGAGUAAUACAUCGGAACGUGCCCGAUCGUGGGGGAUAACGAGGCGAAAGCUUUGCUAAUACCGCAUACGAUCUACGGAUGAAAGCGGGGGAUCUUCGGACCUCGCGCGGACGGAGCGGCCGAUGGCAGAUUAGGUAGUUGGUGGGAUAAAAGCUUACCAAGCCGACGAUCUGUAGCUGGUCUGAGAGGAUGAUCAGCCACACUGGGACUGAGACACGGCCCAGACUCCUACGGGAGGCAGCAGUGGGGAAUUUUGGACAAUGGGCGAAAGCCUGAUCCAGCCAUGCCGCGUGCAGGAUGAAGGCCUUCGGGUUGUAAACUGCUUUUGUACGGAACGAAAAGCCGCUUUCUAAUAAAGAGGGGUCAUGACGGUACCGUAAGAAUAAGCACCGGCUAACUACGUG